UGGGGCUGACUUCUGUGGCGACCAGGACACGACGAUCCCUUAUCAGCCUGUAGGCGACCCGAGAGGACAAGCCGGGGGCAGAACAGCGGAAGACCACCCUGGUGUUGAGAGGAGAAUAAACGGGGAUCCUCAGGGAGCGCCAUGGAGGAGCUUUUUCUGUUCCACAGCAGCAGGACGGGCUCUGCUUGAGUUCUUAGGACCUCUCAGUGGAAGUCAAUUAUCGGUGCGGCUGCAGCCAUGAGGAGACCCAGCAACAGCAUGAAGUGGAAUAAAACCGAAGAGCUGGAGGCUCGAAACAUCCGCUGCUCCGCCUCACAACACUGCAGAACAUCAAACUGAAGAAACACGGAAACACGCAGAGAUAGGAGUUUUAUUCCCACUUCACCGCCGCCAGUGCUUUAAGGCUGCAGAUCAAAAGUUGCAAUCAAUUACAAAAAGUAAAAUUUUUUGAUAUUUUUUUUAGUGCCAAAUGUUUAGGAAAAGGGUCAUAUUUAUCUCCAUUAUUAGGAUAAACAUUUUUGUAUAAUUUUUUAGACAUCGUCUAAGAAACAAGAACAGCAGCAGCUGUGAACACAAGGACUCCUGUCUUAGUAGCUCCGAAUAUCAUAUUUAUAAAACUAAAGAAAGUUUAUUUUUACCAGACACACUGUAAUUUAAGCCAACAUUGCUAAGCUAACUGGUUGCUAGCUUUAUAACAAACUGUGGACUUAGGAGGUGGUAAAGGAACUAGAAACAUCUUUAAUCAUAUACACUUAAAUAAAAUAUAUACAUAUUACUGCAUGAAA
Molecule: long non-coding RNA, 785 nt
Organism: Xiphophorus hellerii (green swordtail)
Lineage: Eukaryota; Metazoa; Chordata; Actinopteri; Cyprinodontiformes; Poeciliidae
Exons: 3
Source: RefSeq, a predicted model, not a curated record